Molecule: long non-coding RNA, 1633 nt
Filed under: Ananas comosus (pineapple)
Lineage: Eukaryota; Viridiplantae; Streptophyta; Magnoliopsida; Poales; Bromeliaceae
Description: long non-coding RNA (ACOM_LNC004999)
Source: RNAcentral
AAUAAUUUCACGUGGGAUAGAAAAAAAAAAAAAAUUUGAUUGGAAAUAUAAGAGAGAUCUCACAAGGCUUAAGUAUUUUGGGCCAAUAGUUUGGAUCCAAUAAGUUAUCAAUGGGUUGGGUUGUUUUAGUUGGUAUCAAAGUCGAAUAUCAGACCUGCCGGAAGUGUGAGAGCUAAAUGUUAUUAAUGUGGAAUAAAGUGUUAUCUCGCACCUUAGUAAUAAUAACUGAAUUUAAACAUUUUGAGCCUGUGGAUAGAAAUAAGGUAAAAUGCACAAAACUUAUUUAAACUAUGAGCCAUUUUGAGUCAGCUAUCCAAUCUUUCAAAAUCUUAAUUUUACUACACAACCUUUCAAUUUGUUUGAUUUAAACCCGUAAACGUCGCUUUAACCUCAAAAUUGAAUCACCAUUUAUCUUUACACAUUUAGCUAAUAUACUUCAUGCCAUUCUCGCAAAUAUAAUUUUAUUGAAAUAAACAAUCAGUUUCAAUUUUGAAGUCAAAAUGCCGUUAAUUGGCUGAAAUCAAACAAAUUUGAAAGGUUGCGUGAUAAAAUCAAAAAUUUUAAAAAUUGAAUAGUCGAUUCAAAAUAGUUCAUAGUUCAGAUAGAUUUUAUACGUUUUAACUAAGAAAUAAUUGAGAAUAACAAAUAAUUGCUUGUCGUAAACGAAUAUUAAGUUUUUCAUUGCAUAGCUGUUUCCUUGCCUUCGAAAAAUGCAAGGUUUAGAUAGAUAGAUAGAUAGAUAGAUAAUAGCGUAGUAACACAACAAGCCAAAUUCAAUGCAUUUUCGGACCAAUUAAUGGCAUGUUUAUUUGGAUAGAUGUGGGGUGGAAGCGGAGAGGGAAAAAGCCGUCUUCGUCGUAAAUGAUCACUUUUGUUGUUUGGUUCGUCGUAAAAAAGUUACGGUCGAAACUCGAGUUAACCUGAAACAUGGUACGAAGUCAAUUACAGUAAAGUUAGGUGAAGAAAAAAUAAUAAAAUAAUAUAUCAAGUAGAGAUAGUUAUAUUUCAAUAUAUUUAAUUAUGAUACUAAUUAUUUUUUUAUUCAGUUGGCAUGUUUAAGAUAUGAUAAAAAUUGAUUAGUUAAGUUUUAAUAUUUUUUUUAUUUAGUUUGUACAAUUAAAAUAUAAUAAAAAUUGAUUAAUUAAGUAUUAUUAUUUUUUUACUUUAUAAUUUUAUUAUUGUAUUACUAUAAUUUAUGUAUAAAAAAAUAAUUUAGUUGUUUAAAUUAAAUUUUAAUUAUAUAAAAAAUAUAAUUAUAUUAUUUUUAUUUAUUAAAUUAUUUAUUAUUUAUACAUAAAUUAUAAUUUUAUAUUAUACACUUCCUACCAAACAAAUAGCAGAGCUAAUAAAACUUCACUUUCAUAACUACGAAACAAACAACCGGAAAGAAGUAAUUUUUACUGCACUCCAUUUCAACCCAAAGUCCACUUAACCCAAAGUUCAGCUUCGGUAAAACAAAAAUGCCCUAAAAGUCCAAACAUUGACCGUUCCGAGUACAAAUGGCAAAAGACUUGAUGGUUGAUACCCGAGGUCCCAAGUUCAGAGUAUAGUUAUUUCACAUUUCCAGCUAAAUUUAUUUCUAAAAAAAUGUGCGAAGUGGUAGCUUACUACCAUUAUUUUUAAAAAGAAAAAA